This 196-nucleotide ribosomal RNA is filed under the name Gammaproteobacteria bacterium LSUCC0057. RNAcentral describes it as "partial 23S ribosomal RNA". It matches the Rfam family "Bacterial large subunit ribosomal RNA", at positions 1 to 192 of the family's 2925-position model. The record is from RNAcentral. Lineage: Bacteria; Pseudomonadati; Pseudomonadota; Gammaproteobacteria; Cellvibrionales; Porticoccaceae.
UAUAUGGUCAAGCGAGUAAGCGCACACGGUGGAUGCCUAGGCAGUUGGAGGCGAUGAAAGACGUAGGAGCCUGCGAUAAGCUCCGGUGAGGUGGCAAACAACCUUUGACCCGGAGAUCUCUGAAUGGGGAAACCCACCCGUUUUAAGACGGGUAUCAUGCACUGAAUCCAUAGGUGUAUGAGGCGAACCCGGGGAA